RNAcentral lists this ribosomal RNA (114 nucleotides) under Drombus sp. KUROKO-HAZE. RNAcentral's name for it is "partial 16S ribosomal RNA". The record is from RNAcentral. Lineage: Eukaryota; Metazoa; Chordata; Actinopteri; Gobiiformes; Gobiidae.
UACCCAACAACUAGCCCCUCCCCCCCAAAUCCAACAACCUACAUUAAUACCCCCUAAUACACAAAAUUAAGAUAAGCAAACCAUUUUUCCCCCAAAGUAUCGGCGACAGAAAAG